Acanthopagrus latus (yellowfin seabream) is the source of this 876-nucleotide long non-coding RNA. RefSeq lists it as uncharacterized. The record is from RefSeq and is a predicted model, not a curated record. The transcript has 3 exons. NCBI's taxonomy places the organism in Eukaryota, Metazoa, Chordata, Actinopteri, Spariformes, Sparidae.
ACCUCACUCAUGUUGGUUUGGCUGUUUCACCUCUGUGUUUCCCGCAUCGUCCUGUCCCGUCUUCCAGCUUUUGCGUCCCUCGUCCUCAUGUUGUACUUGUUCCUGCCUUUUGCUUUGAAUUUUAAACUUUUUUUUUUGGACUGCUCUCAGCUCCUUACCUGUCUGCAGCUGGGUCCCUCUGUGUUAAACCUGUCGUCUCACGCCGGAAGGUUUUCUCUGUGUUUUCUGUCACAAGUGCCCUCCGAGGUGCCCCGCUGCAUGCUGGUGCCAUUUUAUUUGAUGUUUUUACCUCCAACAUCCAGAGUCCACAAGCCCUCAGGGCAGAAAACUGUGCAUUAAAUAACACCUAAAAUCUGUUGAGCUGGAGAGACGAGCUCCUCGGAGCCAGGCCUCCGUCUGCUCACACUCAUGACGAUAAGCUGGUGGUUUUACAGGCUGGACUAACAAAGCCGGGACGUCUGUGGCAAAGCAAACUUUAAAAAAAAAAAAAAACAUAUCAAUCAGUCUUUGGAGUUCGCAUGAAUUGAAGUUUGCAGAGACCGACUGAUCCCAUGUAACUGUAGUUUUGAGAGAGAAGCUUUAUGAGCCGAACGCCAACUUUACAGUGUUGAAAAGUGCGAGAAUGUUAAAUCCAUCUGCAAUCUCUCCAAGCAGACGUCAGGAGUUCAUUCUUUAGUCCGUUUUUAGUCGGAUUCUUUAAUAUGACUGAUGACAACCCGAAGCUGCAGUGAAGACUGAUGGGAGAUCUUCAUCAGCUGCUGCCGAAUCACUGUUGCUGACUUAGAUCGUUUACCUCAGUGCUAAUUACGACAUUAGUAGUUCACUAUGGAGGACUAAACGUGGCAUAAUUAAAUAAAUAAAUACACCAUUAAAUAA